This 414-nucleotide ribosomal RNA is filed under the name uncultured bacterium. RNAcentral describes it as "bacterial SSU rRNA". It matches the Rfam family "Bacterial small subunit ribosomal RNA", at positions 362 to 774 of the family's 1533-position model. The record is from RNAcentral.
UAUUGGUCAAUGGCCGGAAGGCUGAACCAGCCAUGCCGCGUGAAGGUCAGUGCCAUAUGGGCGUUAAACUUCUUUUGUGCGGUAGCAAUAAGGUCCACGUGUGGGCCGACGAGAGUACCGUACGAAUAAGCAUCGGCUAACUCUGUGCCAGCAGCCGCGGUAAUACGGUGGAUCCGAGCGUUAUCCGGAUUUAUUGGGUUUAAAGGGAGCGUAGGUGGACAGUUAAGUCAGUUGUGAAAGUUUGCGGCUCAACCGUAAAAUUGCAGUUGAUACUGGCUGUCUUGAGUACAGUAGAGGUGGGCGGAAUUCGUGGUGUAGCGGUGAAAUGCUUAGAUAUCACGAAGAACUCCGAUUGCGAAGGCAGCUCACUGGACUGCAACUGACACUGAUGCUCGAAAGUGUGGGUAUCAAACA